CACCUGGGGGAAAUUUAGGGCUGAAGAAGGGUAGGACUCCCCCCCCCCCUUCCCUCUGCAUCGUGGUGUGGCAGGGAGGUUUUUUUCCGUGCUAAAGGGACAGCUGGGAUGUGCUGGGUGCCUUGGUGGCCUGGAGGUGGCUUCUGCCCCUGCUCGUGGUGGCAAUGUGUCCCUCCCUCCCAGUACCAUGUGGGAGCCUGAGAAGAAGAAAAAAAAAAAAAAGAAAGGGAACGCUCUUUAUGCGCGUGUAGCCCUGCUCCUCAUUACGCUUCCUGCUAGAGAGCUACCCAGGCCAGCCAAAAAUAAAACCAGCUACAUUUGAGCAGCCUAUUUCAAGCCCGUAUAAACUGCGAUGUGUAAAUACUUGUGUGUGCAAACCCCCCCACGCAAUCCUGCGUGAAGCUGUUGGAGCAGCAGCCCCAGCCUCUCCCCACGUGCCCGUCAUUGGGAAGGCGCCAGCUGCUGCUGCCGGCAGCUCUUUGUUGCAGGAGCCAACCUUUUAUUUUUAUUUUUUUAACCUGUCAUGGGCUGGCACAGUGCUGGAGCUCCUCCAAAGCCUGGUCCUUCCACCCCUGUGUUGUGUUUUGUUUUGUUUUCCCCCCAAAAAUUUGGCUGCCUACAAGCUGUGUGAGUACUGAGCAUCGGAAACGUGCCCUGCAUCCCUUUGCCUCCCCAGGAGUGGAGCCCUCCUGCCCCUUCCUGAACUCAUCGCAAAAAUUUGCCCCUAUGCAAAUAAAUCUGCCUGGUUUGAGGUUUUGUGUAGGAUUUCAGGAGCCUGAGCCCGCAACUUGGUUGCCAGUGGCAGCGUUGCCAACAGCUCAAGGUGCAGAAUCAGGCUCCUGGUGCCUAAGGCAGCACAAGAAGCCAGGGGAAACACCACCCUUGAAGGCCUUGGAGGUUCUUUCCUAUCGUGGAAGCACAGAUAUUGCUUCUUGGGGGGAGGAAAAAUACCAAGAGGCACGCAAAACGCUGUGAUGCUCUUUAUUGGCAUCCGACCGAUACACAAGGAUAGCUACCCACCGAGCCGGCCCCGCGCCCCGCCAGCCCCCGUGCAGGAUCCCUCCCACCUCAUGCUGCUCGCACCCCUCCCGGCACACCCACAAACUCCUUCUACGAUGGCAAAUUGUUCGCCGCAAACCUCUAAUAAAUCGGCGUUGGUAUCACAGGGGGAGUGGGGGAACAAGUGGAGAAAACACACAUUCUUUGUACAACAGAAACAUUAGAAAAGGACACAAAACGUACCGACGAGCAUUAACUUUGGCUUGUUUUCCCUCCUUUUUUUUUUUUUUUUAAGUUAUUAUUAUUAUUAUUUUUCCUGCAACCAGGGAUUUGAGGCAUCCCGCGGCUUCUCUUUGGAUGCUGAGUUUGUCUCCGUUUCCUCGGCCGCGAGGCUGGUCGAAGGGCGAGGAAAGGACCCCUUGCUAUGGCAAUAGAAACCUGAGAGCAUGGCGAUAUUGUCCUGAAGAAAAGUGAUUUGCAUCUGGCACGGUGCGUCCCGGGUGGCGCGUGGGCUCGGCCAGGCUCACCCGGGCAGGUUUUUGAGGAGGAGUUGGCGGAACCCAGCGUGGGCGCUCGCAUCGAGUCGCUUCACCAAAAGAAGGGACCAAGGGAAACCACGAUAACCAACACUUGAGUUUGUCCCAAAGCAUCCUUGGGGAUGGCUCAGUCUGGAAGGAGCUGUCACCCCAGCUGGGGGCUUGCAAGCCGGAGUCAAAUUUGGGGCAGUUUCCUUGGAUUUCAGUGCUCUUGGUGCACAGCUGCUUUGCGUGAGGGCAGGAGGCGCUUGACAUCCCAGCCUGAUCCAAACGCAGCCUGGGCGUUUUUAUGUUCCAAAACCCAGGGAGCAAAGUUUCCAAAAGCUUUUAGGUGCUGAGUUUCCACCAAUGUUGGCUCCAGGCCCCUUCACGGGAUCCCAGAAUGGGCAAGUUGGGCAGGGACCUCUGGGUCCAUCUCUCCAAGCCCUGCUCCAGCAGGACCACCCGGAGCAGGGCGCCCAGGACCGUGUCCAGGCAGCUUUUGGAGCUCUCCGAGGAUGGAGACCAGUUCCAGUGCUCCGUCACCUCCACAGUCCAGCAUUAUGUCCUGGUCUUCAGACAGAAACGGCCUGCAGGGCACCGAGCUCUCCCUGCAACGACCUCCACCAGGAUUGGCCAAACCCCUUGGUGUCCCCAAGCUUCUCACAGACUCGCUGCGAUGGUUUUCGGAGCGAGCACGCGCGCGUUUCCCCACGUUCUCCGUCGAGUCUUUAAGGCCAGAGGCGAGGUGGGAACGAGGACGGGGCUGCAAGAGGAAAGCUCAGCCUGCAGGUGGGAGGCCGGGGUGGCCGAGCAGAGGGGUUGGGGCAGGCACCAUCACCCCAUCACACGUAGAAACAUCGAGCAUUAGUAAAACAAGGCAGAAUUA
This is a long non-coding RNA of Cygnus olor (mute swan), 2403 nucleotides long. RefSeq lists it as uncharacterized. The transcript has 2 exons. Lineage: Eukaryota; Metazoa; Chordata; Aves; Anseriformes; Anatidae. The record is from RefSeq and is a predicted model, not a curated record.